UCGUCAGCUCGUGUCGUGAGAUGUUGGGUUAAGUCCCGCAACGAGCGCAACCCUUGACUUUAGUUGCCAGCAUUUCGGAUGGGCACUCUAGAGUGACUGCCGGUGACAAACCGGAGGAAGGCGGGGAUGACGUCAAAUCAUCAUGCCCCUUAUGACCUGGGCUACACACGUACUACAAUGGCCGGUACAGAGGGCUGCGAAGCCGCGAGGUGGAGCCAAUCCCAGAAAGCCGGUCUCAGUUCGGAUUGCAGGCUGCAACUCGCCUGCAUGAAGUCGGAAUUGCUAGUAAUCGCGGAUCAGCAUGCCGCGGUGAAUACGUUCCCGGGUCUUGUACACACCGCCCGUCACACCACGAGAGUUUAUAACACCCGAAGUCGGUGAGGUAACCGCAAGGAGCCAGCCGCCGAAGGUGGGAUAGAUGAUUGGGGUGAAGUUAUAACAAGGUAGCCGUA
RNAcentral lists this ribosomal RNA (452 nucleotides) under uncultured bacterium. Its description in RNAcentral is "bacterial SSU rRNA". It matches the Rfam family "Bacterial small subunit ribosomal RNA", at positions 1052 to 1504 of the family's 1533-position model. The record is from RNAcentral.